AUACGUAGGGGGCAAGCGUUGUCCGGAAUGACUGGGCGUAAAGGGCGCGUAGGCGGCUUUUUAAGUCUGGAGUGAAAGUCCUGCUUUCAAGGUGGGAAUUGCUUUGGAUACUGGGGAGCUUGAGUGCGGAAGAGGUAAGUGGAAUUCCCAGUGUAGCGGUGAAAUGCAUAGAGAUUGGGAGGAACACCAGUGGCGAAGGCGGCUUUCUGGACUGUAACUGACGCUGAGGCACGAAAGCGUGGGGAGC
RNAcentral lists this ribosomal RNA (247 nucleotides) under uncultured bacterium. RNAcentral describes it as "partial 16S ribosomal RNA". It matches the Rfam family "Bacterial small subunit ribosomal RNA", at positions 523 to 769 of the family's 1533-position model. The record is from RNAcentral.